GCCUAGCCCUAAACCUUGGUAAUAUAUCACAUACCCUACCCGCCUGGGAACUACGAGCACCAGCUUAAAACCCAAAGGACUUGGCGGUGCUUUAGACCCCCCUAGAGGAGCCUGUUCUAGAACCGAUAACCCCCGUUCAACCUCACCCUUCCUUGUUUAUCCCGCCUAUAUACCGCCGUCGUCAGCUUACCCUGUGAAGGACUAAAAGUAAGCACAACUGGCACAACCCAAAACGUCAGGUCGAGGUGUAGCGCAUGGAGGGGGAAGAAAUGGGCUACAUUCCCUAUAGUAGGGAACACGAACGGCGCACUGAAACACGCGCCUGAAGGAGGAUUUAGUAGUAAGCGGAAAAUAGCGUGUUCCGCUGAAAUCGGCCCUGAAGCGCGC
Molecule: ribosomal RNA, 387 nt
Filed under: Sebastes miniatus (vermillion rockfish)
Lineage: Eukaryota; Metazoa; Chordata; Actinopteri; Perciformes; Sebastidae
Description: partial 12S ribosomal RNA
Rfam family: Bacterial small subunit ribosomal RNA
Source: RNAcentral